Molecule: ribosomal RNA, 495 nt
Filed under: uncultured bacterium
Lineage: Bacteria
Description: partial 16S ribosomal RNA
Rfam family: Bacterial small subunit ribosomal RNA
Source: RNAcentral
GACGAACGCUGGCGGCGUGCCUAAUACAUGCAAGUAGAACGCUGAAGGAGGAGCUUGCUUCUCUGGAUGAGUUGCGAACGGGUGAGUAACGCGUAGGUAACCUGCCUGGUAGCGGGGGAUAACUAUUGGAAACGAUAGCUAAUACCGCAUAAUAGCAGUUGUUGCAUGACAACUGUUUGAAAGGUGCAAUUGCACCACUACCAGAUGGACCUGCGUUGUAUUAGCUAGUUGGUGGGGUAACGGCCCACCAAGGCGACGAUACAUAGCCGACCUGAGAGGGUGAUCGGCCACACUGGGACUGAGACACGGCCCAGACUCCUACGGGAGGCAGCAGUAGGGAAUCUUCGGCAAUGGACGGAAGUCUGACCGAGCAACGCCGCGUGAGUGAAGAAGGUUUUCGGAUCGUAAAGCUCUGUUGUAAGAGAAGAACGAGUGUGAGAGUGGAAAGUUCACACUGUGACGGUAUCUUACCAGAAAGGGACGGCUAACUACGUG